This 253-nucleotide ribosomal RNA is filed under the name uncultured bacterium. RNAcentral's name for it is "partial 16S ribosomal RNA". It matches the Rfam family "Bacterial small subunit ribosomal RNA", at positions 524 to 776 of the family's 1533-position model. The record is from RNAcentral.
UACGGAGGGUGCAAGCGUUGUUCGGAAUCACUGGGCGUAAAGGGCGUGUAGGCGGCCUGCUAAGUCUGAUGUGAAAGCCCGGGGCUCACCCCCGGAAGGGCAUUGGAUACUGGCAGGCUCGAGUCCCGGAGAGGAGGGUGGAAUUCCUGGUGUAGCGGUGAAAUGCGUAGAUAUCAGGAGGAACACCGGUGGCGAAGGCGGCCCUCUGGACGGUGACUGACGCUGAGACGCGAAAGCGUGGGGAGCAAACAGG